This is a small nuclear RNA of Hibiscus syriacus, 198 nucleotides long. RefSeq annotates it as U2 spliceosomal RNA. The transcript has a single exon. The record is from RefSeq and is a predicted model, not a curated record. Lineage: Eukaryota; Viridiplantae; Streptophyta; Magnoliopsida; Malvales; Malvaceae.
AACCUUUCACGGCCUUUUGGCUAAGAUCAAGUGUAGUAUCUGUUCUUAUCAGUAGUUUAAUAUCUGAUACAUGGGCCAAUGGCUCACACGAUAUUAAAUUUUUUUUUUGAUGGGGAGGGUUCACCACAGCAGCUUGCUACUGUGACUCUCGACCGUCUCCCUAGCGUUGAACUAUUGCUUGGGCCUGACGCACCCCAC